Molecule: ribosomal RNA, 419 nt
Filed under: uncultured bacterium
Lineage: Bacteria
Description: bacterial SSU rRNA
Rfam family: Bacterial small subunit ribosomal RNA
Source: RNAcentral
UGGGGAAUAUUGGGCAAUGGGCGCAAGCCUGACCCAGCAACGCCGCGUGAAGGAAGAAGGCCCUCGGGUUGUAAACUUCUUUUAUUCGGGACGAAGGAAGUGACGGUACCGAAUGAAUAAGCCACGGCUAACUACGUGCCAGCAGCCGCGGUAAUACGUAGGUGGCAAGCGUUAUCCGGAUUUACUGGGUGUAAAGGGCGUGUAGGCGGGAUGGUAAGUCAGAUGUGAAAACUCAGGGGCUCAACCCUGAGCCUGCAUUUGAAACUAUCGUUCUUGAGUGAUGGAGAGGCAGGCGGAAUUCCGUGUGUAGCGGUGAAAUGCGUAGAUAUACGGAGGAACACCAGUGGCGAAGGCGGCCUGCUGGACAUUAACUGACGCUGAGGCGCGAAAGCGUGGGGAGCAAACAGGAUUAGAUACCC